This 1064-nucleotide long non-coding RNA is filed under the name Olea europaea subsp. europaea. The record is from RNAcentral. Lineage: Eukaryota; Viridiplantae; Streptophyta; Magnoliopsida; Lamiales; Oleaceae.
AUGACCAUACCUUCGUUUUCUUUGAGUACGUCUCCAAUGGGCUUUUCCUUCGAAGUUUCUUAGACGCGCCAUUUUUCUUCGAUUGUUUAGGAUUGCAUAUGCUCCUGCCGAUAGUAUUUUGCAAUCCAGUACCUUGUGAGGCUAACUGAACUGUGUGCUACAACAAGAUAUCACUUCCACUACUCGACUUUAUCAUCGUAAGCUCUUUCUUUAUAGAUUGAAUCCUAUCCAUUAUCGUAUGUGAUCGAACUUCAUCAUCUGCUGCGAAGUCUACCACCAAACGCCUCGCCCAUAUUGUCGUGCCUCAACUUUUCAGGAGUACUAACCCACUGUAAUUAACUGCUAUCUGUUGGGAAUUUACUUAAACAUGUACAGCGGAAUUAAACAAAUUUCAAUUCUCAUUCAGGAUUCAACUUUGUAUUUAGAUAAGAACUGUGAUAAGAAAUAUACAUUUUCUUGAUUUUGCAAAUUCCUUCGCGUUAUUCCUUUCCAGCAUCUUGAAUCUGCCUCCCACAGCUGUCCAAUUGUCCAACCUCCAAUGAAAUCCACACAGAGAAUAGAUUGCAACUGCUAAGGUUUUUCCUCUUGUGGCAGCAAAAAUAAUGAAAACCUUAUGGACCUCAAACCCUAACCAUGUAUUUAUAUAAACCCAAACGGGCUCGGCCUGGUCCGAUCCAAUGUAUAAUUAAUCCAUUUAAUUAAAACCGAUCCGUGAAUUAAUUAAUCCAAUUAAUUCGAGAAUAUAAAUAACAAAUCCAAUUAAUUAAUUUAUCCAACGAUUGUUAAAUUAAUCAAUUGGCAAUUUGCAAUCUUUCAAUUCUCUUUUGUGUGUGACCCAUUAGAUUCCUAACCAUGAUGCCUAAUGACGUGAAAUAUUAUUUUGAUCUAAUCAAAACUGAUAAAUUAAACACCCUUUUAAUUUAUCACAGAUUCACACUCGUCAUCUCAAAUUGACAUCUAGCAAUAUAUUAGGGCAACACGUGACGGGAAAUGUCACGUGGUAUGACAAAACCAAAACUGUUCGUUUACUAUGAAAUUAUAGUCCCUUCGUCAAUAUGAUCCGA